RNAcentral lists this ribosomal RNA (91 nucleotides) under Gardnerella vaginalis. Lineage: Bacteria; Bacillati; Actinomycetota; Actinomycetes; Bifidobacteriales; Bifidobacteriaceae. The record is from RNAcentral.
GCCCGGUCCCAUUCCGAACCCGGAAGCUAAGGCCUGACACGGUGAGGGUACUGCACUCGAUAGGGUGUGGGAGACUAGCACGCUGCCGCAU